GCCCACACCUGUGGCUUCUGAAGCAGAGCACCAGCAGUGACAGUCCCACCAGAACCGCAUGGAAUAGAAAACUGUGCAUUUCCCUAAGGAAAGGGAAUGCCAGAGAAGGGCAGAAGGGAAAUCAGGAAGACAAAACGGUAAAUUACCUACCACAAAUCCAAUUCAUUGGUAUUUUUCCACUUACACUUAACCAAGCAACGAUUUCUCCUGGUCCCAUAAUGGAAAAGAGGGUUUAUCUAGAUUCAUAUAUACAAGACUGAAGAGUGAAGAGAGACCCAGAGAAUGUUCUAAAAUCUGCCAGUUAGCAUAAUCACACAGAGAAAUCUCUGCUUCCAGAGGAGGAGCCAAGUUCAAGUCAGAGUGUCUUCAUGUUGGAGUGGACCUUUCCUCUAUCUGUCAACAGAAUGGAUAAAUUGUGGAAGAGUAAUAUCAGAAUACUACACAUCAGUAAAAAACAACAAACUUCUGCUACAAACAAUCAACAUCGAUGAAUCUUUCAGGCAAAAGGUUAUAGAAACAGAUGAUCAGUGGCCCACGGAUUCCAGGUGAGGAUCUGGGACCCAG
Molecule: long non-coding RNA, 564 nt
Filed under: Homo sapiens (human)
Lineage: Eukaryota; Metazoa; Chordata; Mammalia; Primates; Hominidae
Description: non-protein coding LINC02290:24
Source: RNAcentral